CCCAGACACACAUAUUGCAAAAGUUGCUUGCUUCAAGUAACUAAUGUAUUAACAUAUAUUUCUAUAGGCAAAGAGCUAUUUCUUUCCUUUAGGCUGUCUUAGACACUGAUGAAAACAUAAGAACAUCAAGAGCAUCUGUAAAAAUUACAGCUUUAAUGAAACAGAUGAAACAGGCCAUCAAAGGCCCCACUGGCAGACCUUGAUACUGACUGACCUGAGCUUCUGCUGCUGUAGCCCUUCCCAGCUGACCUGCUUCUGUUCCAGCUCCUGGGAGAUCUGCUUGCCAAGACCUGCCCAUACCUCGGCAGUAGGUUUAGUUCUGGAUCAAAUGGCCACCCUGUGUAGCCAUUCUCACCAACAGAAACUAGACAGGCUGAUUAGAUUGAAAAGAGCUGUAGACCACCCUCAAGGCAAAUAGCAAUAUUUCAUGCAACACUCUAAAAAGCCAUCAAUCCACCAGCCCCAAAUUCCACUACCACCCAGUCUGCGUUUCUCCAUCUUAUUUUAUAAGGCUCCAGCAAGGGACCGCUUCAGUUGUCUUUCUGAAAUCCGU
Molecule: long non-coding RNA, 553 nt
Filed under: Mustela putorius furo (domestic ferret)
Lineage: Eukaryota; Metazoa; Chordata; Mammalia; Carnivora; Mustelidae
Description: lncRNA (ENSMPUG00000023962.1)
Source: RNAcentral